GUGAGACUCUGUCUCAAAAACAAAAACAAAAAAAAUCAAACUGCCAUCUGGGCACGGUGGCUCACGCCUGUAAUCCCUGCACUUUGGGAGGCCGAGGCGGGCAGAUCACGAGGUCAGGAGUUCAAGACAUGAACAAGGCCAACAAGGUGAAACCCCAUCUCUACUAAAAAUACAAAAAUUAGCUGGACAUGGUGGCACGUGCCUGUAAUCCCAGCUACUUAGGAGGCUGAGGCAGGAGAAUUGCUUGAACCAGGACCUGGGAAGCAGAGGUUUCAGUGAGCCGAGAUUGCACCACUGCACUCUAGCCUGGGCUACAGAGCAAGACUCCAUCUCAAAGAAAAAAAAAAAAAAGAAAAAGAAACAAAAAAAAUCAAACUGCCAUGGAAAUUGCUUUACCCAAAAUUUUGGUUCACAGCCUUCAUUGCAUUACCUACUGGGGCAAACAAAGUAAAACCGGAUAAAGCUGAAGGUUCAAACAAGUGGUGGAAGGAGUAUGGAAAUUAAUCUUGUGGAAGUGGUUCUCUGUGUGAGAAACAUCGGCCUGACCACCUGACUUUCUGAUCACAUUCCACUGGGAAAAAGUCCAAGGAACAUCCCUAUCACAUUCUGCUGGAACAAGGACCAAGUCACCUCAUCAUGGGAACAUCUUAUCAAUAGCCUGUUGGGCAGCAAGCCAUACUGCCCAGACCCCUCCCUCCCAUACCUGCAAAGGCCCAACUAAAGAAACCUCCCUAUCCUGUCUUACUGGGCAAAGGCCCAAGGAACACCAUGAUGACAUCCCACCAGAAAAAGGGUCAAACCACCCUAUCAUGGGUACAUCUUAUUGAUAUCCUGCCGGGCAGCAAGCCACACUAUCCAGACUUCUCCCAGCCAUACCU
This 878-nucleotide long non-coding RNA is filed under the name Homo sapiens (human). Its description in RNAcentral is "HSALNT0096253". Lineage: Eukaryota; Metazoa; Chordata; Mammalia; Primates; Hominidae. The record is from RNAcentral.